Hypomesus transpacificus is the source of this 509-nucleotide long non-coding RNA. RefSeq lists it as uncharacterized. The record is from RefSeq and is a predicted model, not a curated record. NCBI's taxonomy places the organism in Eukaryota, Metazoa, Chordata, Actinopteri, Osmeriformes, Osmeridae. The transcript is spliced from 3 exons.
GGCGACAAACAUGACUGUGGAGUCGAGGGGUUCAUUUUGAUUUUGUUGUUCUAGGAAUGCUGAACAGCAUAGGAUCCUGUGGAAGAUUCCGGAUAUUUCCCAGAAAUCCGAAAAUGGAGGCGUGGGCUCCUUGUUGGCCCGUUUCCAGCUGUCGGAGGGUCCUAGCAAGCCCUCUCCCCUGGCCGUGCAGUUCACCAGCGAGGGCUGCACCCUCUCAGGCUGCGACAUCGAGCUGGCCGGCCCCGGUUACCGCUUCUCCCUCAUCAAGAAGAGGUUUGCUGCAGGAAAAUACUUGGCAGACAACUAACCCACGCUACUGAACAACACUACUGAAUACAUACACUGAAGAUCGUCUCAUCGGGCCAAGAGUGACAUAGACAAGAACAGUGGAGCCAAUACCCUAACCACCGCACUACAGACACACCCCGCUACAGACACACCUCGCUACAGACACACCUCGCUACAGACACACCCCGCUACAGACACACCCCACUACAGACACACCCCGC